Molecule: ribosomal RNA, 253 nt
Filed under: uncultured bacterium
Lineage: Bacteria
Description: partial 16S ribosomal RNA
Rfam family: Bacterial small subunit ribosomal RNA
Source: RNAcentral
UACAGAGGGUGCGAGCGUUGUUCGGAAUUAUGGGGCGUAAAGAGCGUGUAGGCGGUUCGGUAAGUCUGCCGUGAAAACCCAGGGCUCAACCCUGGGCGUGCGGUGGAUACUGCCGGGCUAGAGGGUGGUAGAGGCGUGUGGAAUUCCCGGUGUAGCGGUGAAAUGCGCAGAUAUCGGGAGGAACACCAGUAGCGAAGGCGGCUCGCUGGGCCACACCUGACGCUGAGACGCGAAAGCGUGGGGAGCAAACAGG